UUCUAGCCCCGGUUGAAAUGGAAAUCCUUUUUUGGGGCGAUUCGCCAGCGGCGGAAAAGCGCCAAAAAAGAUUAUAAUGGAAAACGGGAGCCCUU
RNAcentral lists this small RNA (95 nucleotides) under Halpernia humi. Its description in RNAcentral is "Chryseobacterium humi Flavo-1 RNA". It matches the Rfam family "Flavo-1 RNA". Lineage: Bacteria; Pseudomonadati; Bacteroidota; Flavobacteriia; Flavobacteriales; Weeksellaceae. The record is from RNAcentral.